This 1823-nucleotide long non-coding RNA is filed under the name Mytilus galloprovincialis (Mediterranean mussel). The record is from RNAcentral. Lineage: Eukaryota; Metazoa; Mollusca; Bivalvia; Mytilida; Mytilidae.
AAAAAAAAAGGCAAAUAACUGCAAAUAAAAAGUUGAUUUUUUUUUGUCUGAUCUUUCCUAUAUGAUAUGUACCGGGUUGGUGUGUGUCCAGGACUUUGUCAAGACUGUCUCACCCAAUUACGAUCCUAACCAUGAAAUACUAUAUAUUCCAAAUGGCUUUGAAUCUACUAAAAAUUGUUGAACUUGUUUAAACACAAGUAGAUUUUCCUCUUGACUGAGGUUAUUUUGCCAAACAGGAGUGUUUUAUAUUUUAUGGGAACGGAAUAGUUUCUAUUGUACGUUUUCGGACAAGGGAGUACACUCGAGAAGACAAUGCUUACUGCUUUCGAUUCUACCACAAGUACAGUUUUUAAUUUCUUCAAGAUUUCUCUUAAUACAUGUUCGUUUAGAUUAUUGCAAUCCAUCCGAAGUCUGGCAUGAAGUAUUUGUCCUUUCCUUUCUCCAUAUAAAUAAUAAUUUGGUAUUUUACUUAAAUUUUGAUUAAGGUAACGUUUAAGUGUAAACUUAGAUGGGACCAAAUCUGAUAUCGUCCAGAAAAGCAUUUCAGGAUCGAAAUGACUGACGUAAGAAAAUAUUUUCUGAUACAAUGCUGUUCUACACUUUAUAUGUUGUGUGUCAUUCGUUCGUCUUUUGUCAUAGUAAUGAAUAUUAAACAGUUGUGAGGAAAAUAUCGCUUAAAUAAUCAGGGGUCUUAUUGUGAAACAUUUCAUGUUUUUUACCGUCGUCUUUCUGAUAGUAACUCCCAUCCUGUUUCAUUGUAUAAUUUGUUUAUGUGUGAUAGCUUAGUACCGCCAGUAACUAGCAUAGCCGCUUCAAGUUGCAUAUUUUCUAGUUUAUCACUUUUGAUAAGAGCCAAAGUGGUCGACUGGUCUAGCGCGCCGAUCAUAGUGCAAUGCAAUUUGGUACCACGAUAUCUCAGUUCGAAUUCUGGUGAGGGAAAAACAAAAAAUUUGCUAACGCAAAUUUACAGUUCUAACAUUGUUGGGUUGAUGUUUAGAAUAUUUAAAUACGUCUGAACGAGUGACAACUCUACAACAGAUUUAUCCAUCGGAUCGCUAGCAGUGAUGGUGAUACAAUAUAUACAAACUAAUCUGUAAUCACGAUGCCUUUAUAAAUGACUUGUAAAUUGGGAUGUCCUCUCUGGAAAUGUUCUUACUUUGUUUGUUCUAAGUUGUUUGAACAUUGUUAUGUUGCUACUAUAUUAUCGCUUUAGCAGUUCUAGCAUUGUCGUCAUAAACUUAUUGAUCGUUAUUGCGAUGAAACCAUAUUCACAAUGGAAAUAGAUUUUUUUCGCAGUGUCAUAGAUUCGUCGUUUGUCUUACCCUUACUUGAUAUUGUAUGAGAAAUUCUGAAAGUUAUCCAUCAUGUUUAUUUAUUGGUCUUUGUAAAAGGAAUUUUGAAAAUCUGUUCAUCGGUCUGUUCAUAGUUCCCUUUACUUCCUGAAUACUUUUAGCGAAGAUUUGAUAGUUUAAUAAUUUCCUACAACCGGUAUGCAUAUUCGGAAUGGCGCUUUUUUUCUGUCAAAAAUUUUCAAAAACAAAAAACAAUCAAAAGUAUUGUAGGAGCAUGCCAAGGCCUGGCAAGGUGUCCAACACAAAGUUAAAGUGCGUGUAUUUACUUUAGCUAAGAUGUUCAACGGCCUUCAACUUUUUUGAUAAAGUUUAAUUGCUGUCUUUUCGACACGAUUCAUGUUUCAAAUUCUGUUUUCUAUAUUUUGAAAUUGAUUUUAACACAAGAGAGUAAUAUAAUUGCACAUAAAACAAGUUUUUUAGGAACUAAAUUUAAGUGUCAGGAGAUUGUCAGAAUGCAGGAUUCAAGUUGCA